Long non-coding RNA from Oryzias melastigma (Indian medaka), 1233 nucleotides. RefSeq lists it as uncharacterized. Lineage: Eukaryota; Metazoa; Chordata; Actinopteri; Beloniformes; Adrianichthyidae. The record is from RefSeq and is a predicted model, not a curated record. The transcript has 3 exons.
GUGCACUAAUUAGCAUUAUGUGCACAAAAAUUGCUAACUUGUGUUCUCAAAACGAUACUUUGUGUUUACAAAAUACUAACGUGUGAACACAAAGUACUCCUUUGUGUACAUUAAUUAGCAUUUUGUGCUAAAAAAUGCAAACCUGUAUCUACAAAAUCCUAACUUGUGCCCACAAAAAAGCAAUUUUUGCACACAAUAUACUUAUUUGUGCACAAAAAUGAGUAUUUUAUGCAUAAUAAUUUCUCAUUUGAAUGCACAAGAUACUAACUUGUGGGCACAUAAUACAAAUCUGCCCUCAGUUUCAAAAAAGGUUGGUGACCCCCGAGCUAGAGUUUUAAUCCACAUAAGAGUGAUUUUCAAAUGUUGUCGUGCACAAUUAGUAAAAUAAAUAAAUAAAAUAGUUAAAAAAAUAAAAAUACAACAAAACCCAGCUUAUCAGUGCCAGUUUUUAGUUUUAUAAUUAGGAAAGAUACAUAAUAGCAAGCACAACCUCGUGCUAGCAAAAAAAAAAAAAAAAGGUGAAAAGGUCUUAUUAUAUUACACAGAUAUAAAAACAAGAUCUGUUGAUGGAGGACACAAAUUUGGAGCUGUAAAGCUUUUGUUAAAAUCCCUUCAGUAGCUGGAUAGCUAGACAUUUGCCCCUGAAAGACAAUGACUCCCUUUCAGCUGUAGGGGGCAGCAGGGCAGCAUUGCACGGGACAGUCAAUACAAAGUCAACGAAGAAGAAGAAGCGGCAGCAGAAGAAGAAGAAGAAGCGGCGGGCAGCAGAGACGGGUGAGCACGUGAGAGUGAACGGUGAUCUUGGGAUUUCAGCUCUUUGUAAAAACGGAGCUGUUUUUCCUUUAAGAUUGAUGUAUUGCUACAGUGAAAUUCCAUUCACGGACAGUACCUGGAUACUUAAAGAACCCUGACUUAUUAUGAGCAUCAGAACCAAAACCAUCAGCUCCUGUCAUCUGUGGUAAUCACUCGGCGCUCAUUCAUCUGAAAAUCUCACCUAAAUGUUUUUAUUGUUGAUUUUUCUCAAGCACAAGUGAUUUUAAAAAGUUCCCAUCCCUGAUGAUCGAGGAUCACACCUGACUCUUUUAGGUUGUAGUCAGUCAUCCUCACUGUUCUGUGGUCAGUUCUGGUCCUCUGUACGAGAACUGAUGAGGAACAUCUUGUGCUGUGGUUUGUGAAAAUUUGUGUGAAUAUUCUCACUCUAAAAACUACCUAAAUAAACAUACAAAAAUCCUA